This 85-nucleotide non-coding RNA is filed under the name Bacillus sp. OK048. Its description in RNAcentral is "c-di-GMP-I riboswitch aptamer". It matches the Rfam family "c-di-GMP-I riboswitch aptamer". From Rfam's summary of the family: GEMM was predicted in a large-scale screen for bacterial structured RNA regulatory elements. Genes associated with GEMM are involved in a diverse array of functions, including chemotaxis regulation, signal transduction, secretion and chitin. Lineage: Bacteria; Bacillati; Bacillota; Bacilli; Caryophanales; Bacillaceae. The record is from Rfam by way of RNAcentral.
UCUCAAAAAGGGCAAACUCACUGAAAAGUGAAGACGCAAAGCUAUAGGGGCUUCUGUCCUAGGGACCAGCCAGCCAGCUACCAUC